CCUACGGGAGGCUGCAGUGAGGAAUAUUGGUCAAUGGGAGAGAUCCUGAACCAGCCAAGCCGCGUGAGGGAAGACGGCCCUAUGGGUUGUAAACCUCUUUUGUCUGAGAACAAAACCCGGGACGUGUCCCGGACUGCGUGUAUCCGAAGAAAAAGCAUCGGCUAACUCCGUGCCAGCAGCCGCGGUAAUACGGAGGAUGCGAGCGUUAUCCGGAUUUAUUGGGUUUAAAGGGUGCGUAGGCGGUCCGUUAAGUCAGCGGGAAAAUUGCGGGGCUCAACCCCGUCGAGCCGUUGAAACUGGCAGACUUGAGUUGGCGAGAAGUACGCGGAAUGCGCGGUGUAGCGGUGAAAUGCAUAGAUAUCGCGCAGAACUCCGAUUGCGAAGGCAGCGUACCGGCGCCAGACUGACGCUGAGGCACGAAAGCGUGGGGAUCGAACAGGAUUAGAUACCCCUGUAGUC
Molecule: ribosomal RNA, 459 nt
Filed under: uncultured bacterium
Lineage: Bacteria
Description: partial 16S ribosomal RNA
Rfam family: Bacterial small subunit ribosomal RNA
Source: RNAcentral